This 295-nucleotide long non-coding RNA is filed under the name Drosophila guanche. Lineage: Eukaryota; Metazoa; Arthropoda; Insecta; Diptera; Drosophilidae. The record is from RNAcentral.
GUUUUGGAUGUGGGGACCGUCGUCGGGUCCACGCUAAUGUCUUCCUUUGGUUGGAUGCUUGGCCGCACGUGGCUGUGUGCGGGCGGGGCUCUGUAGAUGCGGAGUUCAGGGCCCACUCUGAGUGGAGUCAGCGAUGCAGAGGUGUUGGACACGCUCGAAGGAAAGGAUAUGGAUGCGACGUGGAGACGAGUUUGUUGCGGAGGUUAACCACAUUCCGUGGAGAAGAUCGAUGCGGAGGUUGAGCACACUCCGAGAAGACGUAUGUCGUCUGUAUGUACCUAUGACCGGAGAAGGA